RNAcentral lists this ribosomal RNA (206 nucleotides) under uncultured bacterium. Its description in RNAcentral is "partial 16S ribosomal RNA". It matches the Rfam family "Bacterial small subunit ribosomal RNA", at positions 1289 to 1500 of the family's 1533-position model. The record is from RNAcentral.
CAGUUUGGAUUGGAGUCUGCAACUCGACUCCAUGAAGCUGGAUUCGCUAGUAAUCGCGCAUCAGCCAUGGCGCGGUGAAUACGUUCCCGGGCCUUGUACACACCGCCCGUCAAGCCAUGGGAGUCGGGAGUGCCUGAAGUUCGUGACCGUCACAGGAGCGACCUAAGGCAAGACCGAUGACUGGGGCUAAGUCGUAACAAGGUAGC